UGGAGCUCACAGUUCCUCUGCACUGCCCAUAUGACAGCUCUGUUUCUCUGGGUGUUGUUGGCUGCUCUGUGCCUUGAAUGCAGAGGCCAAAAAGACAACGUGAUGCAACCACAAGGAGAUGUGACGGCUGCUGAAGGAGAGGCAGUAACUCUGGGCUGUCGAUACAACAGCAGUUCUCCCACUAAUUAUCUGUACUGGUACAAACAGGAAGGAAACAGUCGACCCACAUUCAUCCUGAACCGACUCACACUGGACCAAGGAACCACAGCAGAGACGUUCAAGGAAAGAUUCACAUCCACACUGGAUCAAACAUCAAGAUCAGCUCCUCUGAAGAUCCAGAAGCUUCAUGUGUCAGACUCUGCUGUGUACUACUGUGCUCUGCAGCCCACAGUGACAGGAAACAGCUAAACUCUGAACAAAAACCUCUGGAGCAAAGACAACACAGU
Non-coding RNA from Sphaeramia orbicularis (orbiculate cardinalfish), 446 nucleotides. Lineage: Eukaryota; Metazoa; Chordata; Actinopteri; Kurtiformes; Apogonidae. The record is from the annotation of a RefSeq genome assembly.